This 301-nucleotide ribosomal RNA is filed under the name uncultured bacterium. Its description in RNAcentral is "partial 16S ribosomal RNA". It matches the Rfam family "Bacterial small subunit ribosomal RNA", at positions 509 to 807 of the family's 1533-position model. The record is from RNAcentral.
CAGUCGCCGCGGUAAUACGAAGGGUGCAAGCGUUACUCGGAAUUACUGGGCGUAAAGCGUGCGUAGGUGGUGGUUUAAGUCCGUUGUGAAAGCCCUGGGCUCAACCUGGGAAUUGCAGUGGAUACUGGGUCACUAGAGUGUGGUAGAGGAUAGUGGAAUUUCCGGUGUAGCAGUGAAAUGCGUAGAGAUCGGAAGGAACAUCUGUGGCGAAGGCGACUAUCUGGGCCAACACUGACACUGAGGCACGAAAGCGUGGGUAGCGAACAGGAUUAGAUACCCCUGUAGUCCCUGUCUCUUAUAC